This 404-nucleotide long non-coding RNA is filed under the name Linum usitatissimum (flax). RNAcentral describes it as "long non-coding RNA (LUSI_LNC005048)". The record is from RNAcentral. Lineage: Eukaryota; Viridiplantae; Streptophyta; Magnoliopsida; Malpighiales; Linaceae.
ACGGUUCAUAGAAUUUAUUCAUCAGUUGGAAAAGGGUUUAUUGUACUAUUACAGAUAGAUCAACAUGGAUCAUAUAUCUUUUUAUUCAUCAAACAUCUCUAGCUAUCACUUAUUACUCAUAUCACCUAAUUAGUCUCCGCAGCAUCAGCAGCACCAAACGAUGAAAGAGUUACAACACCAAUUUUGAGGCUGCACGUUGGGACCAGUUGGCUUGGGCGAGACAUUCGUGAUGACGCCGUCGUUGUUUUUGUUCUCUAUUUCGGAGGCAGUCCGAGUAGCAACACAUCCAUCGAACAUCACAGCCGUCAUGAGAAUAAGAACGACCAGGAUUGAAACAGUUGCCACCUUCUUCGACUGCAUUUUGUAGUUUGUUUCAGUAAUGUGUAAUUGGUUUUGUGUUUCUU